GACGAACGCUGGCGGCGUGCUUAACACAUGCAAGUCGAACGGAAAGGCCCUGCUUUUGUGGGGUGCUCGAGUGGCGAACGGGUGAGUAACACGUGAGUAACCUGCCCUUGACUUUGGGUUAACUUCAGGAAACUGGGGCUAAUACCUGAUAGGAGCUCCUGCUGCAUGGUGGGGGUUGGAAAGUUUCGGCGGUUGGAGAUGAACUCGCGGAUUAUCAGCUUGUUGGUGGGGUAGUGGCUUAACAAGGCUUUGACGGGUAGCCGGCCUGAGAGGGUGACCGGAAACAUUGGGACUGAGAUACGGCCCAGAAUCCUAAGGGAGGCAGAAGUCAGGAAUAUUGCAAAAUGGGCGGAAGCCAGAUGCAGCAACGCCGCGUGAGGGAAAACGGCAUUCAGGUUGUAAACCGCUUGCGCCUGUGACGAAGAGUGAGUGACGGUAAUGGGUAAAGAAGCACCGGCUAACUACGUG
This 468-nucleotide ribosomal RNA is filed under the name uncultured bacterium. RNAcentral's name for it is "partial 16S ribosomal RNA". It matches the Rfam family "Bacterial small subunit ribosomal RNA", at positions 28 to 507 of the family's 1533-position model. The record is from RNAcentral.